Molecule: ribozyme, 145 nt
Filed under: Anopheles gambiae (African malaria mosquito)
Lineage: Eukaryota; Metazoa; Arthropoda; Insecta; Diptera; Culicidae
Description: drz-agam-2-2 ribozyme
Rfam family: drz-agam-2-2 ribozyme
Source: Rfam by way of RNAcentral
UGCAGUCGCCAGCUCUGUAAUGGGAUGGGAUCCGAAGCCCUCCGAGGGAUAACAUAGGCUCUCCCAUCCAACUCCUAUUCCGACACGUCCUCGUCGUGCAGAGUGGUAACAUGUGCCUCCAUAUAUCCUAGCUUGGGUACACGGG